AAAAUAGACAAAACCUUGGAAUUCCGACUUUUAUCACUUGGUUUGGGUCCCCCAAACGCAUGCACGAGGUUAUCAACAGAAUAAGGAAAGAUUAAUUGAUUUUCCCAAAAUUUUUGUAAGUCUAAACGCAAUGAUGGUUCUGGAACCACAUCUGUGUCGUAAGAGGAAAGAGUGGCGGCGGUCCACUUACCGGCGUAAGGAAGGAAUUUUCCGACACCUGAACCUGACGCCAUUGAUGAAGGUAUAAAGAUGGCGUAAAAGAAUGGUGAUUAGGGUUAAAUUUGGGAAUC
This 290-nucleotide long non-coding RNA is filed under the name Trifolium pratense (red clover). RNAcentral's name for it is "long non-coding RNA (TPRA_LNC009286)". The record is from RNAcentral. Lineage: Eukaryota; Viridiplantae; Streptophyta; Magnoliopsida; Fabales; Fabaceae.